CCUUCCACAGCUUGAGGACCAGGGAAGCGUGCCCAGAGGAAGUCAUGGGUGAGCCAAGGCCCUGCUGGGACCAUGUGCACCGCGACAUACCUGAAGCCCAGCCCUGAGCCUUCCCACAAUAACUAGGGCCUGAGUCCCAGGUCCAGGCUGUCAUCCCCUCCAGUGG
Molecule: long non-coding RNA, 166 nt
Filed under: Piliocolobus tephrosceles (Ugandan red Colobus)
Lineage: Eukaryota; Metazoa; Chordata; Mammalia; Primates; Cercopithecidae
Description: lncRNA (ENSPTEG00000031160.1)
Source: RNAcentral